CGCUCGCGCACCCCUCCGCCGCGUAGCCAUCCGCCAGCGCGGGCGCCCGCCAUCCGCCGCCUACUUACGCUUCACCUCUGCCGACCCGGCGCGCUCGGCUGCGGGCGGCGGCGCCUCCUUCGGCUCCUCCUCGGAAUAGCUCGCGGCCUGUAGCCCCUGGCAGGAGGGCCCCUCAGCCCCCCGGUGUGGACAGGCAGCGGCGGCUGGCGACGAACGCCGGGAUUUCGGCGGCCCCGGCGCUCCCUUUCCCGGCCUCGUUUUCCGGAUAAGGAAGCGCGGGUCCCGCAUGAGCCCCGGCGGUGGCGGCAGCGAAAGAGAACGAGGCGGUGGCGGGCGGAGGCGGCGGGCGAGGGCGACUACGACCAGUGAGGCGGCCGCCGCAGCCCAGGCGCGGGGGCGACGACAGGUCAGUGAGAACCUCAGUCUGACGACAUUGAAGCUAGCCGAAUGAAGCGAGCAGCUGCAAAGCAUCUAAUAGAACGCUACUACCACCAGUUAACUGAGGGCUGUGGAAAUGAAGCCUGCACGAAUGAGUUUUGUGCUUCCUGUCCAACUUUUCUUCGUAUGGAUAAUAAUGCAGCAGCUAUUAAAGCCCUCGAGCUUUAUAAGAUUAAUGCAAAACUCUGUGAUCCUCAUCCCUCCAAGAAAGGAGCAAGCUCAGCUUACCUUGAGAACUCGAAAGGUGCCCCCAACAACUCCUGCUCUGAGAUAAAAAUGAACAAGAAAGGCGCUAGAAUUGAUUUUAAAGAUGUGACUUACUUAACAGAAGAGAAGGUAUAUGAAAUUCUUGAAUUAUGUAGAGAAAGAGAGGAUUAUUCCCCUUUAAUCCGUGUUAUUGGAAGAGUUUUUUCUAGUGCUGAGGCAUUGGUACAGAGCUUCCGGAAAGUUAAACAACACACCAAGGAAGAACUGAAAUCUCUUCAAGCAAAAGAUGAAGACAAAGAUG
RNAcentral lists this long non-coding RNA (946 nucleotides) under Homo sapiens (human). Its description in RNAcentral is "long non-coding RNA NONHSAT171373.1". Lineage: Eukaryota; Metazoa; Chordata; Mammalia; Primates; Hominidae. The record is from RNAcentral.